This 255-nucleotide ribosomal RNA is filed under the name uncultured bacterium. RNAcentral describes it as "partial 16S ribosomal RNA". It matches the Rfam family "Bacterial small subunit ribosomal RNA", at positions 78 to 334 of the family's 1533-position model. The record is from RNAcentral.
UCUUUCUUUGCUGGCGACCGGCGCACGGGUGAGUAACGCGUAUCCAACCUGCCCUUUACUCGGGGAUAGCCUUUCGAAAGAAAGAUUAAUACCCGAUAGCAUAAUGAUUCCGCAUGGUUUCAUUAUUAAAGGAUUCCGGUAAAGGAUGGGGAUGCGUUCCAUUAGGUUGUUGGUGAGGUAACGGCCCACCAAGCCUUCGAUGGAUAGGGGUUCUGAGAGGAAGGUCCCCCACAUUGGAACUGAGACACGGUCCAA